This 353-nucleotide ribosomal RNA is filed under the name uncultured fungus. Its description in RNAcentral is "partial large subunit ribosomal RNA". It matches the Rfam family "Eukaryotic small subunit ribosomal RNA", at positions 20 to 368 of the family's 1831-position model. The record is from RNAcentral. Lineage: Eukaryota; Fungi.
GUAGUCAUAUGCUUGUCUCAAAGAUUAAGCCAUGCAUGUCUAAGUAUAAAUAAAUUUAUAUCGUGAAACUGCGAAUGGCUCAUUAAAUCAGUUAUGAUCUACGUGACAUAUUCUUUACUACUUGGAUAACCGUGGUAAUUCUAGUGCUAAUACAUGCAAAAAAGCCUCGACUUACGAAGGGGUGCACUUAUUAGAUAAAGCCAACGCUGGGUAAAACCAGUUUUCCUUGGUGAUUCAUAAUAAUUUAGCGGAUCGCAUGGCCUUGUGCUAGCGACGGUCCACUCGAUUUUCUGCCCUAUCAUGGUUGAGAUUGUAAGAUAGAGGCUUACAAUACCUACAACGGGUAACGGGGA